RNAcentral lists this ribosomal RNA (497 nucleotides) under uncultured archaeon. Its description in RNAcentral is "bacterial SSU rRNA". It matches the Rfam family "Archaeal small subunit ribosomal RNA", at positions 857 to 1360 of the family's 1478-position model. The record is from RNAcentral.
UUAAAGNAUUGGCGGGGNAGCCUGCANCGGNAGGAGCGUGCGNUUAAUUGGAUUCAACGCNGGAAACUCACCAGGCCGACUGUUAUAUGAAGACCAGCGUAAUGAGCUUGUCGGAUUUUCAGAGAGGUGGUGCAUGGCCGUCGUCAGUUCGUACUGUAAAGCGUUCUGUUAAGUCAGAUAACGAACGAGACCNUCAUCUCUAUUUGCAACCUGUCUCUCCGGAGGCGGCGCACUAUAGAGAGACCGCUGGUGUGAAACCAGAGGAAGGCGAGGGCAACGACAGGUCAGUAUGCCCCGAAUGUCCUGGGCUACACGCGCGCUACAAAGGACGGGACAAUGGGAAGCUAGGCCGAGAGGCCACGCUAACCCGAAACCCGUUCAUAGUUCGGAUUGAGGGCUGUAACUCGCCCUCAUGAAGCUGGAUUCCGUAGUAAUCGUGUUUCAAUAUAGCACGGUGAAUAUGCCCCUGCUCCUUGCACACACCGCCCGUCAAACCA